AAUGAACGCUGGCGGCGUGCCUAAUACAUGCAAGUCGAGCGAACAGAUAAGGAGCUUGCUCCUUUGACGUUAGCGGCGGACGGGUGAGUAACACGUGGGUAACCUACCUAUAAGACUGGGAUAACUUCGGGAAACCGGAGCUAAUACCGGAUAAUAUUUCGAACCGCAUGGUUCGAUAGUGAAAGAUGGUUUUGCUAUCACUUAUAGAUGGACCCGCGCCGUAUUAGCUAGUUGGUAAGGUAACGGCUUACCAAGGCGACGAUACGUAGCCGACCUGAGAGGGUGAUCGGCCACACUGGAACUGAGACACGGUCCAGACUCCUACGGGAGGCAGCAGUAGGGAAUCUUCCGCAAUGGGCGAAAGCCUGACGGAGCAACGCCGCGUGAGUGAUGAAGGUCUUCGGAUCGUAAAACUCUGUUAUUAGGGAAGAACAUACGUGUAAGUAACUGUGCACGUCUUGACGGUACCUAAUCAGAAAGCCACGGCUAACUACGUG
RNAcentral lists this ribosomal RNA (497 nucleotides) under uncultured bacterium. RNAcentral's name for it is "partial 16S ribosomal RNA". It matches the Rfam family "Bacterial small subunit ribosomal RNA", at positions 29 to 507 of the family's 1533-position model. The record is from RNAcentral.